CAACAAUAAAUUGCAUGUUACUCUAAUUCAGAAUUUCUGUGAUAACACAGCAAUGAAUAAAUAAGAAACAACUUCCGUACCACAUGAACCAUACUAAACAACAUUAUAACAAGGUUGGAUACUUGGCGUCAAGGAAGUCUCUCAGAGUCCGAGCAGCCUUUUGACCACCCAUUAGUUCAGUUAGCCUCUCUACAGGAAGAAGGGCAAGUUCAGAUAAGCUUUUACAUCCAUCCAUUAUGGCCCUGUAGUUGGAAUCUGUCACUCCGGGGAGUCGUCUUAAAAACUCGACACCAGAUGUGUUGUAGUUCUCAGCUCUGUAAUUGAUUAAAUGUUAGCACACGAAACAACAAUAGUAAUAACGAGCGACAGGAACUAGUCCAAUCAAAUUCUAAUUGGGUCCUGCUGCCAGGUAGGUGGGAUACAAGGUAACAAAAGCCAAUAGACUCGAACAGAAAAGUUGGCAUCUUGAGGCCCAGUGUAUUCCAUGUUUAUUCAAUGAAACUCAACCACUAGAUCCCUUGUCAAAUGCCACAUUAACUGAUGGCAACUGGGGCUUGCGCUCAACCAGUUACAUCCAGCCAUCCACCUACAUCUUACUAAAAAGCACCAGAUACAUCCAGCUAAAUAAAAGUAGCAAAUUCUCCCUCCAUCUUCCCUCAAAGCAUAACGCAGGAAAGGAAAAUAGCACCAUGUAUCUUAUUCUUACCUCACAUCAUUUUCCACAAUACCCUCUUCUGACGGGACACCAAUUCUGAUUGCCUUGGCUUCAUCGGGUUCAUCCUGAUUUGCCUUCAGUGAAGCAAAUAUUUCAGCAGUAGCAUGCAAACUGCGAGACCAGAUGAUUCGCAAGCGUGGAAAGUGCAUAACAAGCAAUGAGAGCUUGGAUAUGAUACUAUUUGGCGUGACAUCAUCACCAAUAUCACUUGCUGACUGAAACGAAAAGCUUUUGUCUUGCGAAAAUUCAAUCAGAAGAACAGGUAUUCUAUAAUAACGGACCAUUGUUUCCACUUGGUGGUAAAGGCGGCCAGAUGUGAAGCUCAUAAAAAGAUCUUGAAUACUCUUUCUCUCCACACAUAUUAAUGGAGAGAGGAUAUAGUCCCCCACUUCCAAGGUCACUGGUAUGAUACGCAUCCCUUUCUGGUGGAGAACAUUUGGAAGACUGCUCAUGAAUUCCCUCAUGUCCACUAUGACCUGCAUUUCCUUCUCAACUUCUUUUCUUCCACCAGCCUUUCUGGUUAUUGAAUUUUGGGAACUAGAAGGCUGCGACUCCAUAGAAGAAUCCAAUCCCAGGCAAUUUGCAUUCUGAUCAACUGGAAUCAUCAUCAAAGAUUUCUGUCGAAUCAAUGAUUCAAAUGCUCCGUUCUCCCUGCGUAUGCUUGCCUCAAACUUUUGGACCUCAGUAGAAUCUUCAUAGAAAAGAAAAUAAACUUUUAACUUCUUUGAGGGAUUUUCAGCCUUAUAGACUUCGAUUUCUCGGACAAAUGUCAUGUCCGGAUGGUAAACAAUAAUUACAGAGGGCUUCAAAAUGUCGAGUAUAGGCUGAUCGCUUUCUUGCGCGUAAAAGUGCACUGGCGGUAUUUGCUUACCGUUGCAGUAGGCAGAACUGGGCUGUUGAGUACGCCUCCAAAUAUCCCCUUGGUCUAUAGAUGCACUCUUCAAGCUGUUUUCAGGAUAACCAUCUGCAAUAGCUGGAUAAUUAUCAGCUAUUUGGCCCUUUCGCUCUGAACUAGAUAUUUCAGGCUUAUCACUUCUUGCCACUUUGUUAUUGGCAUCAUCAUCUUUAUUUCUGGAUUUCAGAGCAUUUUUUCUUCGACCUCUUUUAUCCUGUCCUUUUCCCCUUCCUUUUUGAUGUUUGCUGUCAACAAGAACCUGUGGUUCAUCGUCAACAAUAUAAUCCCUCCUACACCGAUUUCUUAUCUCCGAUGCUGCUGCCAACAGGGCAUCAUGUUCCUGCUUGUUUACACUGGUAGAUUCUGCAUUCUUUGUAGUUGUAACAGGAACAACUCCAUCAAGAAUGCCAAAUCCUUUUGAUUCCCUUGGUUUAUGUUUCUUUUUCUGAGGUAUUUGCAAAUGACGCAAUUCUACCUUGCUCAACAAGUACUUCUCCCAUUCUUCUCGCAAUACCUUCUGGGGGCCAUUUGUGACGAAAUCUUCAAGCUGCAUGCAUGAGCAUUCAUCUUUGCAUGCCACUACGACGAUGCCACUAUCAACCUCUUCACUUUCAACCAGGUCUUCUCUUGACAAGGCCUGCUUUUGUCUUUCUUCCUCUAUCUCUUCAAGAAUCUCCUGCAAUAAAAUUAUCACCUCUAAAAUAAACAUAAACAGUCCACACCUUUGUUUAUAUCAUUUAUUUUUCACCCUAAAAUUCCAAUCUAAAACAAUGAUAGACACUAUAUAACUAGAAAACAAAAUGACACGUGAAAAGGUGUGGCUCAAUCGCUAUAGAUCAUUUGCUUACAUAUAUGGGGUAGCAAGUUGAUGUAACAAUAAGAUAACAUAGACAAUGUCACUCACUCACUCACUCACACGUAACACCUUCCACUUUGGUGCUGCCUCCAAAACCUCCUCCAAUAUAACCUCACUAUUUGUACCAGUGGAUGAAGCACCAUCAGCUUUUUCCUCAUUAUCAUCAUCCCUCUUUAGUUUUCUCUUUUUGCCCAAAGUGUUCUUACUCAGCCCAUUUACUUUUGCAUCAUUUGAUCUUGCCAAACGAUAGACACGCUUCUUUGCAUGGUCAAAUAUCUUAAAGCUGGACUCUGCAAAUAUCCAAACAGACCGGAAACUCUCUGACACCCUAAGUGUAUCCAAAUAUUUCAAAUAACUCACUGCAUCAUACCUACUCAAAUCAUACAUCCAUCCAAGUCAAUUCAAAAAUUCAUAACUAGUCAAAGGUCAUUACAAAACUACCAAUGAAAAAUUAUCCAGCAUAACUGAAAACAACAAGUCAACUAGACUUAGAAACAAAUGAACUUCUUCACUAUUAUUUAGUCCAAUAAUCUAUUCAAACUUGGCAAAAUUAACCUACAUUUGUGAAACCUAUCAGCAAAUAAAACAUUCUUCAGCUAACAAUAUCACGGAGCCUAUCAAUUUUCUCCAUUUAACAGAAUAUCCAUAACAAAUCAAUCAGUAAACCCACAAUUAACCCAGCAAUCAAAAAGUAAAAACGUUUUGACCCAAAUAAUUAAGUUCAAGCUUUACCUAACAAGAUAAUCCAGCAACUUUCUUAAGGUCUUCAAAUCCGAAACCAGUUGCUUUGUCUUCUUCCCCAAGAUAUGCCAAAUGGGAUCCAACUGCCUCCUCACAAUCUCAUCAAACGACUUAAACAACCCAUUCUCUACCGUCAAAUCCUCGACGUCCACUUUAUUGGUCUUUCUCAUCUCUUUCAAACACGCAUCCAUAACUUCCACAAUCGCCUUCUGUAUCCCCAACAUGUACUUAGUCAUCGGCACCCUCACAUCAACCACCUCCGGCGGGGCCCUCUCCAGCUCCUCGGAUACGUAAACCUGAAACCUCGGCCAAAGGUGCAGUUUUUUUAUAUAAAGAGACUUCAUUAUCCGUUCAGUCUUAGAAAACCCAGCCACCAUAGCGUGCGGCUUGUCGGUGAAGGCACGGAUGUAAAUAGACUGAGUUAGGGUUUUGAGGAUUCGAGCUAUGAAAGCUUCCGUCGAGGCUUCAGAGAGAGAGUGAACAUUAAGAAGAAUCAGUCCCGAUAGGUUAGAGACGGGGAUUUUGUUAGUUAGUAGGUCAACAAUGAGAAUUCUCGCAGUGAUGAAACAAAUUUGACCGGACGAAUAGAGGGACAGACGGUAGUGGGAGGGUAGCUCGGCGGUGAUUUCAGUGAUUUGGUGGUUUUCAGGGGAGAAGUGGUCGUGGGUUUUGAGGUGGUGGAGGAUUUGGGAUUUGAGGGAAGGAGAAGGGGAAAGGAUGAGGAGAGUGCCUUGGGAGGGGUGGUGGAGGAGAAGGAGAGAGGAAACGAGUUUGGGAAGGGAAAGACCGGAGGAAAGGAUUACAAGUCCACCGGCGGGGUCCUCCAGAAGGUCUGUGAUUAUGUGCUCGUGGAAUUGGACCAUGGUGGCCGGAUCGGAUACUGAUGAUCGGAGAGUGGCGGUGGCGGGAAGAACAAUGGAUGAUGGUG
RNAcentral lists this unclassified non-coding RNA (4135 nucleotides) under Hevea brasiliensis (rubber tree). Lineage: Eukaryota; Viridiplantae; Streptophyta; Magnoliopsida; Malpighiales; Euphorbiaceae. The record is from RNAcentral.